RNAcentral lists this ribosomal RNA (406 nucleotides) under uncultured bacterium. RNAcentral's name for it is "partial 16S ribosomal RNA". It matches the Rfam family "Bacterial small subunit ribosomal RNA", at positions 28 to 526 of the family's 1533-position model. The record is from RNAcentral.
GAUGAACGCUAGCUACAGGCUUAACACAUGCAAGUCGAGGGACCGGCGCACGGGUGAGUAACACGUAUCCAACCUGCCCUUUACUCGGGCAUAGCCUUUCGAAAGAAAGAUUAAUACCCGAUACAAAGGAUGGGGAUGCGUUCCAUUAGGUUGUUGGUGAGGUAACGGCCCACCAAGCCUUCGAUGGAUAGGGGUUCUGAGUGGAAGGUCCCCCAGAUUGGAACUGAGACACAGUCCAAAAUACUACGGUACGCAGCAGUGAGGAGUAAUGGUCCAUGGGCGGUAGCCUGACGCAGCCAAGUAGCGUGAAGGAUGAAGGCUUAUGGGUCGUAAACUUCUUUUAUAUAAGAAUAUGUAUUAUAUGAAUAAGGAUCGGCUAACUCCGUGCCAGCAGCCGCGGUAAUAC